RNA transcript from Harpia harpyja (harpy eagle), 2326 nucleotides. It is a transcript of the gene named KH RNA binding domain containing, signal transduction associated 2, with no coding region annotated. NCBI's taxonomy places the organism in Eukaryota, Metazoa, Chordata, Aves, Accipitriformes, Accipitridae. The record is from RefSeq and is a predicted model, not a curated record. The transcript is spliced from 13 exons.
GAAAGGCGGAGGCGGCGCUCGGGGCGGCCGAGGGCAGCGCCCCGCCGCGGGAGUGGCGCGGGGCACCUGCCAGCCGCCGGGCGACCGGCGAGGGCGGGCGGGCGACGAGGAGGGCGGCGGCAGCCCGCCCCGGCGUGCCCAGGCGCCGCGGCCCCGAGGCGAUGGAGCAGGAGAAGUACCUGCCCGAGCUGAUGGCCGAGAAGGACAGCCUGGAUCCCUCCUUUGUCCACGCCAUGCGCCUCCUGGCCGACGAAAUUGAAAAAUUUCAGGGUUCUGAAGGCAAGAAGGAAGAUGAAGAAAAGAAAUAUCUUGAUGUUAUCAGCAACAAAAACAUAAAGCUGUCAGAAAGAGUUCUGAUUCCUGUCAAACAAUAUCCAAAGUUCAAUUUUGUUGGGAAAUUGCUUGGACCAAGAGGAAACUCCUUGAAGAGGUUACAAGAAGAAACAGGUGCAAAAAUGUCCAUCCUGGGGAAGGGAUCCAUGAGGGAUAAAGCUAAGGAGGAAGAACUAAGGAAAAGUGGAGAAGCCAAAUACGCGCACUUGAGUGAUGAGCUUCACGUAUUAAUUGAAGUGUUUGCUCCACCUGGAGAGGCGUAUUCUCGUAUGAGUCAUGCCUUGGAAGAAAUAAAAAAAUUCCUCGUUCCUGAUUAUAAUGAUGAAAUUCGCCAGGAGCAGCUGAGAGAACUGUCGUAUUUGAACGGUUCUGAAGAUUCCGCACGUGGACGGGGCAUUCGAGGAAGAGGGAUCCGUGUCCCACCUACAGCUCCUUCAAGGGGCCGCGGGGGUGCCAUCCCUCCGCCCCCGCCCGGACGAGGUGCCCAAGCGCCCAGAGGAGCGCCGGUGACCCGAGGAGCCCUCCCCGUCCCACCAGUGGCGAGAGGCGUUCCCAGCCCUCGAGCGAGGGGUGCCCCGGCUGUCCCGGGCUACAGACCGCCCCCGCCACCCGCCCACGAGGCCUAUGAAGACUACGGGUACGAUGAUGGAUAUGGGGGUGAAUAUGAUGAUCCAAGCUAUGAGGCAUAUGAUAACAGUUAUGCCACCCAAACGCAAAGUGUGCCUGAAUAUUAUGACUACGGUCAUGGAGCAAGCGAAGAGGCUUAUGACAGCUACGCACAAGAAGAAUGGGCCACAACCCGUUCCAGCCUAAAGGCACCACCUCCAAGGUCAGCCAGAGGGGGUUACAGGGAACACCCCUAUGGUAGAUAUUGAAGGUCCUCCUCAUCUGUGACCUCAUCUCAAAGACAAUUAAUAGCCUGUGGUCUCCACAUAAACAGCAACAAGACAAGGACUCACAGGCACUGGACAACUAAGCAGCAGAUCUGCUGAGAAGUGGUCAGAUUUUUGGAGCCCUUAGGGAAGUACUGUACCUUUUGAACGGUGUUCAGGGAAUUGAGAGUGUUCAACAUCAUUUGCAAUAAAUCAGUGGGAUCUGAAGGACGGAGCCUCAGGUUGGGACUCUCCAGAGCCCCGAGUCCUGGACCUGCCACUGCCACCCUCCCUAGGGCACGCCGGCACUCACGCUUACAGUGGUCUUCCAGUCUGUCAGGUACAGAGUACUUCAUUAUAUGCAUGAACAGAAGUGCUUAAAUGGAUGAAGCGGCUAUUUACGUCUGAUAGGAGCUAAGUGGGACAUUAAAUUAAUGCCAAACAAGUUAGUGAGACUUUAAUCAAGAAAAAAAAAUAUCUAAUGAACAGCAAUUUGAAACACGGCACUUGGAAAGGUCAAAAUGGUACAUUACAUCCUUAUUAUCCAAAAGAACAGAUGAGUUUAAUAUCCUGGCAGCAUUUUCCUGUGAAGGAGAUAUUAAACAAGAACUGAAAAUGGCACAAGGUUCCCUCUUCCUUUCUUAUGACAAAGAUUGUAACAAGAUGAUGAAACUAUACAGAAUAAAUUUCUUGCUUUAAUGUUCAGACUGUGGAUCCUGCCUAGAUUUCAAAAACCUAAGCUAACCAAAGAGCCAACACACAUGCUCUUUGCUUCAGGUCCUUUACAACACAUUUUCCUGCUUAUAAUACCCAGUUGCCAUUAUAUUUCUAGUCUUAAAGAUGGGAAGACAUGUUAAUAGAAGGUAGGCAGUGCAAUGAGUUCUGGCAAAUGCUAACUGUGUUGAACUGCAACAAAUAAUGCCCUGCAUCAGCACUGCUUAAAAUGUAGAUUUUUUCAGCUUCUGUUUGAAUAGACCUAAGAACAGAGAUAACGUAUUCCAACACACAACACAUUGCAUAUGUCCUGUUUUGGAGAGUCCCUGAAGGUAUGGAACUCUUUGAAGGCAAAGGAAUUUGUAGUAUAUCCUGUAGGUUUAAUAUUAAAUUGUUAACAAUUGUUA